GAUGAACGCUGGCGGCGUGCCUAAUACAUGCAAGUCGAACGCACAGCGAAAGGUGCUUGCACCUUUCAAGUGAGUGGCGAACGGGUGAGUAACACGUGGACAACCUGCCUCAAGGCUGGGGAUAACAUUUGGAAACAGAUGCUAAUACCGAAUAAAACUUAGUGUCGCAUGACAAAAAGUUAAAAGGCGCUUCGGCGUCACCUAGAGAUGGAUCCGCGGUGCAUUAGUUAGUUGGUGGGGUAAAGGCCUACCAAGACAAUGAUGCAUAGCCGAGUUGAGAGACUGAUCGGCCACAUUGGGACUGAGACACGGCCCAAACUCCUACGGGAGGCUGCAGUAGGGAAUCUUCCACAAUGGGCGAAAGCCUGAUGGAGCAACGCCGCGUGUGUGAUGAAGGCUUUCGGGUCGUAAAGCACUGUUGUAUGGGAAGAACAGCUAGAAUAGGAAAUGAUUUUAGUUUGACGGUACCACACCAGAAAGGGACGGCUAAACACGUGCCAGCAGCCGCGGUAAUACGUAUGUCCCGAGCGUUAUCCGGAUUUAUUGGGCGUAAAGCGAGCGCAGACGGUUUAUUAAGUCUGAUGUGAAAGCCCGGAGCUCAACUCCGGAAUGGCAUUGGAAACUGGUUAACUUGAGUGCAGUAGAGGUAAGUGGAACUCCAUGUGUAGCGGUGGAAUGCGUAGAUAUAUGGAAGAACACCAGUGGCGAAGGCGGCUUACUGGACUGCAACUGACGUUGAGGCUCGAAAGUGUGGGUAGCAAACAGGAUUAGAUACCUUGGUAGUCCACACCGUAAACGAUGAACACUAGGUGUUAGGAGGUUUCCGCCUCUUAGUGCCGAAGCUAACGCAUUAAGUGUUCCGCCUGGGGAGUACGACCGCAAGGUUGAAACUCAAAGGAAUUGACGGGGACCCGCACAAGCGGUGGAGCAUGUGGUUUAAUUCGAAGCAACGCGAAGGACCUUACCAGGUCUUGACAUCCUUUGAAGCUUUUAGAGAUAGAAGUGUUCUCUUCGGAGACAAAGUGACAGGUGGUGCAUGGUCGUCGUCAGCUCGUGUCGUGAGAUGUUGGGUUAAGUCCCGCAACGAGCGCAACCCUUAUUGUUAGUUGCCAGCAUUCAGAUGGGCACUCUAGCGAGACUGCCGGUGACAAACCGGAGGAAGGCGGGGACGACGUCAGAUCAUCAUGCCCCUUAUGACCUGGGCUACACACGUGCUACAAUGGCGUAUACAACGAGUUGCCAACCCGCGAGGGUGAGCUAAUCUCUUAAAGUACGUCUCAGUUCGGAUUGUAGUCUGCAACUCGACUACAUGAAGUCGGAAUCGCUAGUAAUCGCGGAUCAGCACGCCGCGGUGAAUACGUUCCCGGGUCU
Molecule: ribosomal RNA, 1371 nt
Filed under: uncultured bacterium
Lineage: Bacteria
Description: bacterial SSU rRNA
Rfam family: Bacterial small subunit ribosomal RNA
Source: RNAcentral